AAAAUAAGCAUAGAUAUUUAAUUGAUGAGACAUUAAAAAGUUGACAUAGUCUGGAUCAUAAAACUAGAACAGCUGAUAUUACACGCAGAAAAUGUUUUCACAUUAUAACAAUUAUAAUUAUAAAAGAGUCAACGAACCUAACUUCACCUAUAAGGGUUUUACUUUUGAAGACUAGCAACAAAUUCAUUUCCUCUAAACCUAUAUCCUAAAGCACGAUAGAAAAAAAGAAAAUGAUAUUCUAUAAGACUGCAGAUAUAGUUGUCUCUAACAUGAAUAUGUUUUUCUUUCUCACUAAGAAUAAUUACAAACAAGAUAACGAAUUCAAAGCAAUCAGAUUAAAAUCUUGCAUAGGCUUAGCUUAUAUAGAAAGAAACACAAAGCAAUCAUAAAAACAAUGGAAAACACCUAUUGCACAUAAACAGAAAGAAACAUUCUACGUUCUUCAAGUGAAGAAUAACAAAGAAUAGCAUACAGAAAAAAG
RNAcentral lists this unclassified non-coding RNA (481 nucleotides) under Hevea brasiliensis (rubber tree). The record is from RNAcentral. Lineage: Eukaryota; Viridiplantae; Streptophyta; Magnoliopsida; Malpighiales; Euphorbiaceae.